GUGCUGCUUCAGCAGCACAGAUACUAAAAUUGGAACAAAACAGAGACGAUUAGCAUGGCCCCUUCACAGACGUGACAUGCAAAUUCCUGAAGCGUUCCAUUUUUUU
This is a small nuclear RNA of Suricata suricatta (meerkat), 106 nucleotides long. The record is from Ensembl. Lineage: Eukaryota; Metazoa; Chordata; Mammalia; Carnivora; Herpestidae.